GACGAACGCUGGCGGCGUGCCUAAUACAUGCAAGUAGAACGCUGAAGAGAGGAGCUUGCUCUUCUUGGAUGAGUUGCGAACGGGUGAGUAACGCGUAGGUAACCUGCCUUGUAGCGGGGGAUAACUAUUGGAAACGAUAGCUAAUACCGCAUAACAAUGGAUGACACAUGUCAUUUAUUUGAAAGGGGCAAUUGCUCCACUACAAGAUGGACCUGCGUUGUAUUAGCUAGUAGGUGAGGUAAUGGCUCACCUAGGCGACGAUACAUAGCCGACCUGAGAGGGUGAUCGGCCACACUGGGACUGAGACACGGCCCAGACUCCUACGGGAGGCAGCAGUAGGGAAUCUUCGGCAAUGGGGGCAACCCUGACCGAGCAACGCCGCGUGAGUGAAGAAGGUUUUCGGAUCGUAAAGCUCUGUUGUAAGUCAAGAACGGGUGUGAGAGUGGAAAGUUCACACUGUGACGGUAGCUUACCAGAAAGGGACGGCUAACUACGUGCCAGCAGCCGCGGUAAUACGUAGGUCCCGAGCGUUGUCCGGAUUUAUUGGGCGUAAAGCGAGCGCAGGCGGUUUGAUAAGUCUGAAGUUAAAGGCUGUGGCUCAACCAUAGUUCGCUUUGGAAACUGUCAAACUUGAGUGCAGAAGGGGAGAGUGGAAUUCCAUGUGUAGCGGUGAGAUGCGUAGAUAUAUGGAGGAACACCGGUGGCGAAAGCGGCUCUCUGGUCUGUAACUGACGCUGAGGCUCGAAAGCGUGGGGAGCGAACAGGAUUAGAUACCCUGGUAGUCCACGCCGUAAACGAUGAGUGCUAGGUGUUGGAUCCUUUCCGGGAUUCAGUGCCGCAGCUAACGCAUUAAGCACUCCGCCUGGGGAGUACGACCGCAAGGUUGAAACUCAAAGGAAUUGACGGGGGCCCGCACAAGCGGUGGAGCAUGUGGUUUAAUUCGAAGCAACGCGAAGAACCUUACCAGGUCUUGACAUCCCGAUGCUAUUUCUAGAGAUAGAAAGUUACUUCGGUACAUCGGUGACAGGUGGUGCAUGGUUGUCGUCAGCUCGUGUCGUGAGAUGUUGGGUUAAGUCCCGCAACGAGCGCAACCCCUAUUGUUAGUUGCCAUCAUUCAGUUGGGCACUCUAGCGAGACUGCCGGUAAUAAACCGGAGGAAGGUGGGGAUGACGUCAAAUCAUCAUGCCCCUUAUGACCUGGGCUACACACGUGCUACAAUGGUUGGUACAACGAGUUGCGAGUCGGUGACGGCGAGCUAAUCUCUUAAAGCCAAUCUCAGUUCGGAUUGUAGGCUGCAACUCGCCUACAUGAAGUCGGAAUCGCUAGUAAUCGCGGAUCAGCACGCCGCGGUGAAUACGUUCCCGGGCCU
This 1369-nucleotide ribosomal RNA is filed under the name uncultured bacterium. RNAcentral's name for it is "bacterial SSU rRNA". It matches the Rfam family "Bacterial small subunit ribosomal RNA", at positions 28 to 1381 of the family's 1533-position model. The record is from RNAcentral.